CCCUUAGAUGUUCUGGGCCGCACGCGCGCUACACUGACGAAUGCAACGAGCUUAUAACCUUGGCCGAAAGGUCUGGGUAAUCUCCAAAUUUCGUCGUGAUGGGGAUAGAUUAUUGCAAUUAUUAAUCUUCAACGAGGAAUGCCUAGUAAGCGCAAGUCAUCAGCUUGCGUUGAUUACGUCCCUGCCCUUUGUACACACCGCCCGUCGCUCCUACCGAUUGAAUGGUCCGGUGAAGCGUUCGGACCGUGGCCUUUGGACGGUUCGCCGUCUGUUGGCUGCGGGAAGUUCGUUAAACCUUAUCAUUUAGAGGAAGGAGCAGUCGUAACA
This 327-nucleotide ribosomal RNA is filed under the name uncultured eukaryote. RNAcentral describes it as "partial 18S ribosomal RNA". It matches the Rfam family "Eukaryotic small subunit ribosomal RNA", at positions 1470 to 1796 of the family's 1831-position model. The record is from RNAcentral.